This 465-nucleotide ribosomal RNA is filed under the name Velia rivulorum. RNAcentral describes it as "partial 16S large subunit ribosomal RNA". It matches the Rfam family "Bacterial large subunit ribosomal RNA", at positions 1797 to 2529 of the family's 2925-position model. Lineage: Eukaryota; Metazoa; Arthropoda; Insecta; Hemiptera; Veliidae. The record is from RNAcentral.
CGCCUGUUUAACAAAAACAUGGUUUUUUGUUAAUUAAUAUAAGAUCAGGCCUGCCCAUUGAUUUAUAUAAAUUAAAAGGCUGCAGUAUUUUAACUGUACGAAGGUAGCAUAAUCAUUUGUCUUUUAAUUGGAGGCUAGUAUGAAUGGUUUGAUGAGAAUUUAACUUUCUUUGAUUAAUUAAAUUGAAUUUAAUAUUUUAGUUAAAAAGCUGAGAUAUUUUUAUUGGACGAGAAGACCCUAUAGAAAUUUACUUUUUUUAUAUAAGUUUAUUUUUUGUUUUUAUAAUUAACUUAUUUGAUGAAAAGUUUUGUUGGGGCGACAGUGGAAUUUAUUUAACUUUCAUUAAAUUUUAACAUUGAUUUAUGUUUUGAUCCAAUUUUAUUGAUUAUAAGAUUAAUUUACCUUAGGGAUAACAGCGUAAUUUUUUCGGAGAGUUCUUAUUGAUGAAAAAGUUUGCGACCUCGA